GGAGAGGUGGCUGAGUGGUCGAAAGCGGCGGUCUUGAAAACCGUUGACCCUCGCGGGUCCGUGGGUUCGAAUCCCACCCUCUCCGCCA
Molecule: transfer RNA, 88 nt
Filed under: Gammaproteobacteria bacterium
Lineage: Bacteria; Pseudomonadati; Pseudomonadota; Gammaproteobacteria
Description: tRNA-Ser
Rfam family: tRNA
About the family: Transfer RNA (tRNA) molecules are approximately 80 nucleotides in length. Their secondary structure includes four short double-helical elements and three loops (D, anti-codon, and T loops).
Source: RNAcentral